This 95-nucleotide small RNA is filed under the name Escherichia coli str. K-12 substr. MG1655. Its description in RNAcentral is "small RNA MotR". Lineage: Bacteria; Pseudomonadati; Pseudomonadota; Gammaproteobacteria; Enterobacterales; Enterobacteriaceae. The record is from RNAcentral.
ACAACUGCUGGAUGAACAGAGAGUACAGGCUGUUUAACUGAUACGGUGAGGCGCAACAUUCCAGCAGCGGUAACGACGUACCGCUGCUUUUUUUU